RNAcentral lists this long non-coding RNA (212 nucleotides) under Elaeis guineensis (African oil palm). RNAcentral describes it as "long non-coding RNA (EGUI_LNC040242)". The record is from RNAcentral. Lineage: Eukaryota; Viridiplantae; Streptophyta; Magnoliopsida; Arecales; Arecaceae.
CUUGUGAGCACACCCACAAUGUUGACUAUGAGUAGAUUAUCACUGCCCCACUGUUCAUUGCGUACACCGGACAAUGCAGACCCACACAAGGGCCCAAUGGGCCAAGGUGUCAAAUCAUUAACCGUCAUGAGCGGAUGCACCAAACUUACGAGCUUGAGAAAAUCGGAUGGUUGGGCAACUCCCCCUUGACUUCAUUGGAUGGAUGGUUGGCG